GAUGAACGCUAGCUACAGGCUUAACACAUGCAAGUCGAGGGGCAGCAUGGUCUUAGCUUGCUAAGGCCGAUGGCGACCGGCGCACGGGUGAGUAACACGUAUCCAACCUGCCGUCUACUCUUGGACAGCCUUCUGAAAGGAAGAUUAAUACAAGAUGGCAUCAUGAGUCCGCAUGUUCACAUGAUUAAAGGUAUUCCGGUAGACGAUGGGGGUGCGUUCCAUUAGAUAGUAGGCGGGGUAACGGCCCACCUAGUCUUCGAUGGAUAGGGGUUCUGAGAGGAAGGUCCCCCACAUUGGAACUGAGACACGGUCCAAACUCCUACGGGAGGCAGCAGUGAGGAAUAUUGGUCAAUGGGCGAGAGCCUGAACCAGCCAAGUAGCGUGAAGGAUGACUGCCCUAUGGGUUGUAAACUUCUUUUAUAAAGGAAUAAAGUCGGGUAUGCAUACCCGUUUGCAUGUACUUUAUGAAUAAGGAUCGGCUAACUCCGUGCCAGCAGCCGCGGUAAUACGGAGGAUCCGAGCGUUAUCCGGAUUUAUUGGGUUUAAAGGGAGCGUAGAUGGAUGUUUAAGUCAGUUGUGAAAGUUUGCGGCUCAACCGUAAAAUUGCAGUUGAUACUGGAUAUCUUGAGUGCAGUUGAGGCAGGCGGAAUUCGUGGUGUAGCGGUGAAAUGCUUAGAUAUCACGAAGAACUCCGAUUGCGAAGGCAGCCUGCUAAGCUGCAACUGACAUUGAGGCUCGAAAGUGUGGGUAUCAAACAGGAUUAGAUACCCUGGUAGUCCACACGGUAAACGAUGAAUACUCGCUGUUUGCGAUAUACAGCAAGCGGCCAAGCGAAAGCGUUAAGUAUUCCACCUGGGGAGUACGCCGGCAACGGUGAAACUCAAAGGAAUUGACGGGGGCCCGCACAAGCGGAGGAACAUGUGGUUUAAUUCGAUGAUACGCGAGGAACCUUACCCGGGCUUAAAUUGCAGAUGAAUUACGGUGAAAGCCGUAAGCCGCAAGGCAUCUGUGAAGGUGCUGCAUGGUUGUCGUCAGCUCGUGCCGUGAGGUGUCGGCUUAAGUGCCAUAACGAGCGCAACCCUUGUUGUCAGUUACUAACAGGUUCCGCUGAGGACUCUGACAAGACUGCCAUCGUAAGAUGUGAGGAAGGUGGGGAUGACGUCAAAUCAGCACGGCCCUUACGUCCGGGGCUACACACGUGUUACAAUGGGGGGUACAGAGGGCCGCUACCACGCGAGUGGAUGCCAGUCCCAAAAACCUCUCUCAGUUCGGACUGGAGUCUGCAACCCGACUCCACGAAGCUGGAUUCGCUAGUAAUCGCGCAUCAGCCACGGCGCGGUGAAUACGUUCCCGGGCCU
RNAcentral lists this ribosomal RNA (1358 nucleotides) under uncultured bacterium. Its description in RNAcentral is "bacterial SSU rRNA". It matches the Rfam family "Bacterial small subunit ribosomal RNA", at positions 28 to 1381 of the family's 1533-position model. The record is from RNAcentral.